RNAcentral lists this ribosomal RNA (407 nucleotides) under uncultured bacterium. RNAcentral's name for it is "bacterial SSU rRNA". It matches the Rfam family "Bacterial small subunit ribosomal RNA", at positions 60 to 513 of the family's 1533-position model. The record is from RNAcentral.
AGUCGAACGAUGCCUUCGGGCAUAGUGGCGCACGGGUGAGUAACACGUGGGAACAUACCUUUCGGUGGGGGAUAACAUCGGGAAACUGAUGCUAAUACCGCAUACGCCCCUUGGGGGAAAGAUUUAUCGCCGAAAGAUUGGCCCGCGUCCGAUUAGCUAGUUGGUGAGGUAACGGCUCACCAAGGCUCCGAUCGGUAGCUGGUCUGAGAGGAUGACCAGCCACACUGGGACUGAGACACGGCCCAGACUCCUACGGGAGGCAGCAGUGGGGAAUAUUGGACAAUGGGCGCAAGCCUGAUCCAGCCAUGCCGCGUGAGUGAUGAAGGCCUUAGGGUUGUAAAGCUCUUUCACCCNCGACGAUGAUGACGGUAGUGGGAGAAGAAGCCCCGGCUAACUUCGUGCCAGCA